Molecule: unclassified non-coding RNA, 536 nt
Filed under: Hevea brasiliensis (rubber tree)
Lineage: Eukaryota; Viridiplantae; Streptophyta; Magnoliopsida; Malpighiales; Euphorbiaceae
Source: RNAcentral
GCCCCCUUCCCCUUUGUGUUCGUGUGUUGUUUGCUAACAGGAGUUUCUUUAAAUUUUUUAGCUACUCUCAGUUUGGUUUCAGUGCACGAAAUUAGGUCUCCUUGUUAGCUUUUUGGUUUUUAAGUAUUAUGGCUUCGUACAGAUUCAUGAUGUUCCUCAAUCUCUGUAGUCUUUAUUCAUUGGCUAGUCAACUCUGCCUAAAAGAGUGACUUUGGGAGAUACUGGGUGGAAUGCGUGUGACUUCUGUAUUCCCUGUUAGGUUUUUGGUGUUUUGUAGUCUAUUUUGGAAGAGCUCAUGUGGAGGAAUGUUGCUAGAGGCUUUGGGACUAUCUUUCUACACACACGUUUUUUGGUGCUUCUUCGACAUUAAUUUGAAAUGCUUGAUUGGAAGUUCACUUGUUAGUAAAGCCUUCUACUGCUCUUCCCCCCAUUUUUGCAAGUAUGAAUUUUCAGUAGUCAACCUUAUAUUGUAUGCAGUCAGCAGUGUUAAUCCUUGAAAUUUCUAGGGGUGGGAAUUUAGAAUACUUGAAGAGGUG